This 428-nucleotide ribosomal RNA is filed under the name uncultured bacterium. Its description in RNAcentral is "partial 16S ribosomal RNA". It matches the Rfam family "Bacterial small subunit ribosomal RNA", at positions 354 to 796 of the family's 1533-position model. The record is from RNAcentral.
GUAGGGAAUAUUGCGCAAUGGGGGAAACCCUGACGCAGCGACGCCGCGUGAGUGAUGAAGGCCUUCGGGUCGUAAAGCUCUGUUGCAGGGGAAUAAAAAAAUGAAGGUACCCUGUGAGGAAGGAUCGGCUAACUUCGUGCCAGCAGCCGCGGUAAGACGAGGGAUCCUAGCGUUGUUCGGAAUCAUUGGGCGUAAAGAGGGCGUAGGUGGCUUGGUAAGUCAGGUGUGAAAGCCCAGGGCUCAACCCUGGAAGUGCAUUUGAUACUGCUGAGCUUGAGUGUCGGAGAGGUUACCGGAAUACCUGGUGUAGUGGUGAAAUACGUAGAUAUCAGGUGGAACACCGGAGGCGAAGGCGGGUAACUGGACGAACACUGACACUGAGGCCCGAAAGCGUGGGGAUCAAACAGGAUUAGAAACCCCGGUAGUCC